This 497-nucleotide ribosomal RNA is filed under the name uncultured bacterium. RNAcentral's name for it is "partial 16S ribosomal RNA". It matches the Rfam family "Bacterial small subunit ribosomal RNA", at positions 28 to 507 of the family's 1533-position model. The record is from RNAcentral.
GAUGAACGCUGGCGGCGUGCCUAAUACAUGCAAGUCGAGCGAACAGACGAGGAGCUUGCUCCUCUCACGUUAGCGGAGCACGGGUGAGUAACACGUGGAUCACCUACCUAUCAGACUGGGAUCACUUCGGGACACCGGCGCUAAUCCCGGAUAACCUGCUGCACCGCAUGGUUCAACAGAGAAAGACGGUCUUGCUGUCACUUAUAGAUGGAUCCCCGCCGCAUUAGCUAGUUGGUAAGGUAAAGGCUUACCAAGGCAACCAUGCGUAGCCGACCUGCGAGGGUGAUCGGCCACACUGGAGCUGGGACACGGUCCAGACGCCUACGGGAGGCAGCAGUAGGGAAUCUUCCGCAAUAGGCGAAAGCCUGACGGAGCAACGCCGCGUGAGUGAAGAAGGUCUUCGGAUCGUAAAACUCUGUUAUUAGGGAAGAACAAAUGUGUAAGUAACUAUGCACGUCUUGACGGUACCUAAUCAGAAAGCCACGGCUAACUACGUG